Molecule: transfer RNA, 73 nt
Filed under: Salmo salar (Atlantic salmon)
Lineage: Eukaryota; Metazoa; Chordata; Actinopteri; Salmoniformes; Salmonidae
Rfam family: tRNA
About the family: Transfer RNA (tRNA) molecules are approximately 80 nucleotides in length. Their secondary structure includes four short double-helical elements and three loops (D, anti-codon, and T loops). Further hydrogen bonds mediate the characteristic L-shaped molecular structure. tRNAs have two regions of fundamental functional importance: the anti-codon, which is responsible for specific mRNA codon recognition, and the 3' end, to which the tRNAs corresponding amino acid is attached (by aminoacyl-tRNA synthetases). tRNAs cope with the degeneracy of the genetic code in two manners: having more than one tRNA (with a specific anti-codon) for a particular amino acid; and 'wobble' base-pairing, i.e. permitting non-standard base-pairing at the 3rd anti-codon position.
Source: Rfam by way of RNAcentral
UUCCCUGUGGCUCAGUUGGUAGAGCAUGGUGCAUGCAAUGCCAGGGUUGUGGGUUCGAUUCCCACGGGGGGCA